RNAcentral lists this transfer RNA (68 nucleotides) under Trichonephila clavata. Its description in RNAcentral is "tRNA-Thr". The record is from RNAcentral. Lineage: Eukaryota; Metazoa; Arthropoda; Arachnida; Araneae; Nephilidae.
GCCAGUAUGGUGGAUAUGACCCUCGGAUUGUAACCGAGUGGACUUGGGUUCGAAUCCCGACUAAGGCA